AGAGCGAACGCUGGCGGCAGGCCUAACACAUGCAAGUCGAACGGACCCUUCGGGGUUAGUGGCGGACGGGUGAGUAACACGUGGGAACGUGCCUUUUGGUUCGGAAUAGCUCCUGGAAACGGGUGGUAAUGCCGAAUGUGCCCUUCGGGGGAAAGAUUUAUCGCCAUUAGAGCGGCCCGCGUCUGAUUAGCUAGUUGGUGAGGUAAUGGCUCACCAAGGCGACGAUCAGUAGCUGGUCUGAGAGGAUGACCAGCCACAUUGGGACUGAGACACGGCCCAAACUCCUACGGGAGGCAGCAGUGGGAAUCUUGCGCAAUGGGCGAAAGCCUGACGCAGCCAUGCCGCGUGAAUGAUGAAGGUCUUAGGAUUGUAAAAUUCUUUCACCGGGACGAUAAUGACGGUACCGGAGAAGAAGCCCGCUAACUCGCGCCAGCAGCCGC
Molecule: ribosomal RNA, 440 nt
Filed under: uncultured soil bacterium
Lineage: Bacteria
Description: bacterial SSU rRNA
Rfam family: Bacterial small subunit ribosomal RNA
Source: RNAcentral